Long non-coding RNA from Anguilla anguilla (European eel), 1696 nucleotides. RefSeq lists it as uncharacterized. The record is from RefSeq and is a predicted model, not a curated record. The transcript is spliced from 2 exons. Lineage: Eukaryota; Metazoa; Chordata; Actinopteri; Anguilliformes; Anguillidae.
CAGAGAGAAACAAACACAGCGAAGAUUUGAUCCAGACAGCUACGGGGAUCGCUUUCCACACAAAGAGUGUGAGACGGUAGGAGGGGAAAAAAAGAUAAAACAUUUUAAACAGAAAUGUGUUGUCUCCCAAUAGACCAGACUUUGCCUCCAGCAGGCGACUCUAUUAGCGUCCAGGGAUCAGAGCCCUGCUCCGGGGCACAGAUGCUUGCUUCACGUCUGAGAUGGAUUGGAGAUCAGUUGGAAAAAGGCAAGGCUAUUGGGGACCGGGGCUCAAGUAAGAGCGCACCGAGAAACAGAAAAGUCUUGAUUCGAGGCUUUUACACCGUAUGCACAGCGAUACAGAUUACCGCCUUUUUGCUGCUUGUUAGAAGGCGACACCUGUAGGCGCACUUUCCUUUGCAACAGCGAAACCAGCAACAGAUGGUGCCUUCAGGACCCUGGUCAAGGAGGGAGAAUGGACAGCUCUAAGAAUAUAUUUGCACUGAGGAAACUUAUACCAGCACUGACCGAUUUUAGAGCAAAGUCACUCGGAAAUCUGACAAGUGUCCACGUACGUUUCACGGGCGUAUUUUUCAUGCCAUCAAAUCCGCGGAACCGGUCAAUAUCAUUGGAGGCAUUGACCCGUCAGGUUGACUCGGUCUACACCUGUCAAACUUGAGUUGCCUUCAAACGAUUGUUUAAUAUCAUUAUCAUCGUAAUCAUCAGCUACUGGUGUGCGUUCUGCAUUUCAUUUACAGUAGAUACAGUAACAACCGCUGCCUACAAAAAACGUCAAUACAUCAAUCAGUUGUCAUUUUAUUGAUACACAAAUGUGCUACACCAAUAAAACAUUUUAUACCGCAACUGUGUUUCAAGAUAGGUCCAUGUUGUUUGGCUUAUCGCAUAAAGCCAAAUAAGUCCAUGCGGAGAUCACUUGAAGCUACCUGUAUCAUACUGGCAACAACAGGAAUAGUAGGUUGAUGUCACCGUCCCUUGACGGUUGCCGAAGGGAAAAACUUACUAAUAUCGCUACUGGAUCCUGGCGUAUCAGACAGCUUAGUCGAGUUAAAUCCAGCGUCCAUUACGUUUUUUAAAAAAAUCAGUAAACACGGAAUAGUGAAAAUGUACAGCAAACGUAAUUCUAAGCAAAAAAUACAUUUGGAAGUUCACGUAAACGUUUUGACAAAUAAAAUGUGAUCUGAAGUUAUCAUUUCAAAGAGAAUGCUUUAUUCUAUUGCACUGCACAUAAUGAAAUAAGCUACUACUAAUUGAACAUGCCCCCCCCCCCCCCCCCUCCCCCACGUUUGAGGACAAGGAGGUCAUAAAUGCAUUCAUUUUUACUGUAAUUUAAUGAAUCUGAAAUAUUAAGUCGAGGAGGAUGUGUCAAAUGCAAACGAUGUUGCUUGACAAUUGUGAUUCUGAUUACUGAAAUGUUUAUACAUACAGUUCUAUUUUCUAGAACUUUUGUAAAGGGCUUUUGAGCUCAACUUUUGUAGCAGUGUUACCAUAGAUGGCUUUCCUUCAGUCCUACAAGAAUAAUAGUAAAGAGCAUGUUGCAGCUAUUUACAUAAGCUAUGUUUUUGUAUCAUUGCAGAAUUGUGGUUUUCAUUGCAGUUAUGAAUUUGUGUGUUUUUAUAAAUGUGCUAUGAGAUGCUAUUAGACUACCUAUCUUGUGAGAUCUGUGACAAUUUUAGAAAAUAAAACUUUCUUUACUACA